Gracilinanus agilis (Agile Gracile Mouse Opossum) is the source of this 104-nucleotide small nuclear RNA. NCBI's taxonomy places the organism in Eukaryota, Metazoa, Chordata, Mammalia, Didelphimorphia, Didelphidae. The record is from RefSeq and is a predicted model, not a curated record.
GCGCUCACUUUGGCAGCACAUAUACUAAAAUUAAAAUGAUACUGAGAUUAGGAUGGCCCCUGUACAAGGAUGACAGGCAAAUUUGUAAAGCAUUCCAUAUUUGG